This 445-nucleotide ribosomal RNA is filed under the name uncultured bacterium. Its description in RNAcentral is "partial 16S ribosomal RNA". It matches the Rfam family "Bacterial small subunit ribosomal RNA", at positions 354 to 796 of the family's 1533-position model. The record is from RNAcentral.
GUAAGGAAUAUUGGGCAAUGGAGGCAACUCUGACCCAGCCAUGCCGCGUGAAGGAUGACGGCCCUCGUGGUUGUAAACUUCUUUUGUACGGGAAUAACCCUCCGAACGUGUUCGGAGCUGAAGGUACCGUAAGAAUAAGGAUCGGCUAACUCCGUGCCAGCAGCCGCGGUAAUACGGAGGAUCCAAGCGUUAUCCGGAUUUACUGGGUUUAAAGGGUGCGUAGGCGGAUUGAUAAGUCAGUGGUGAAAGCAUACAGCUUAACUGUAGAACUGCCAUUGAUACUGCCAGUCUGGAGUAUGGUUGAGGUAGCUGGAAUGUGUCAUGUAGCGGUGAAAUGCUUAGAGAUGACACAGAACACCAACGGCGAAGGCAGGUUACCAACCCAUUACUGACGCUGAGGCACGAAAGCGUGGGGAUCAAACAGGAUUAGAAACCCCAGUAGUCC